GUAAGGAGAAGCAGUUUUUGGCAGCUACUGGUGGAGAUACCAGUGCUGGAGAAGACACCCAACGUAACAGAAGGUGCAGAAAUGGAAGGAGGUUUUUCCAUGAGUACAGUAUCAGAAAGGUGAGGUGCAUAUUGGCGAUAAGCAGUGCUCCUUGGUGGCCUAUAGUGGCGCAAUAAUGGUUGCCCGUCAUUUACCCUGGGAAAAUUGCUAGGUUGGCGCCUCUUCAAGGGGUGACCUGGUCGUCGUCUCAUGGAGCUGCCAGUGCUAACUCAAUUAAA
This is a long non-coding RNA of Pseudophryne corroboree (corroboree frog), 278 nucleotides long. RefSeq lists it as uncharacterized. NCBI's taxonomy places the organism in Eukaryota, Metazoa, Chordata, Amphibia, Anura, Myobatrachidae. The transcript is spliced from 3 exons. The record is from RefSeq and is a predicted model, not a curated record.